This 2887-nucleotide ribosomal RNA is filed under the name Acinetobacter baumannii. RNAcentral describes it as "23S ribosomal RNA". It matches the Rfam family "Bacterial large subunit ribosomal RNA". Lineage: Bacteria; Pseudomonadati; Pseudomonadota; Gammaproteobacteria; Moraxellales; Moraxellaceae. The record is from RNAcentral.
AGUCAAGUAAUUAAGUGCAUGUGGUGGAUGCCUUGGCAGUCAGAGGCGAUGAAAGACGUGAUAGCCUGCGAAAAGCUCCGGGGAGGCGGCAAAUAUCCUUUGAUCCGGAGAUGUCUGAAUGGGGGAACCCACCUACUUUAAGGUAGGUAUUGCAACAUGAAUACAUAGUGUUGCAAGGCGAACGAGGGGAAGUGAAACAUCUCAGUACCCUUAGGAAAAGAAAUCAAUUGAGAUUCCCUCAGUAGCGGCGAGCGAACGGGGAUCAGCCCAUUAAGUUAUGUGUGUUUUAGUGGAACGCUCUGGGAAGUGCGAACGUAGAGGGUGAUAUUCCCGUACACGAAAGGGCACACAUAAUGAUGACGAGUAGGGCGAGGCACGUGAAACCUUGUCUGAAUAUGGGGGGACCAUCCUCCAAGGCUAAAUACUCCUGACUGACCGAUAGUGAACCAGUACCGUGAGGGAAAGGCGAAAAGAACCCCUGUGAGGGGAGUGAAAUAGAUCCUGAAACCGCAUGCAUACAAGCAGUGGGAGCACCUUCGUGGUGUGACUGCGUACCUUUUGUAUAAUGGGUCAGCGACUUAUAUUCAGUAGCGAGGUUAACCGUAUAGGGGAGCCGUAGAGAAAUCGAGUCUUAAUAGGGCGUUUAGUUGCUGGGUAUAGACCCGAAACCAGGCGAUCUAUCCAUGAGCAGGUUGAAGGUUGGGUAACACUAACUGGAGGACCGAACCCACUGUCGUUGAAAAAGGGGAUGACUUGUGGAUAGGGGUGAAAGGCUAAUCAAGCCUGGUGAUAGCUGGUUCUCCCCGAAAGCUAUUUAGGUAGCGCCUCGGACGAAUACCAUAGGGGGUAGAGCACUGUUUCGGCUAGGGGGUCAUCCCGACUUACCAAACCGAUGCAAACUCCGAAUACCUAUGAGUACUAUCCGGGAGACAGACUGCGGGUGCUAACGUCCGUAGUCAAGAGGAAAACAAUCCAGACCGCCAGCUAAGGCCCCAAAAUCAUAGUUAAGUGGGAAACGAUGUGGGAAGGCAUAGACAGCUAGGAGGUUGGCUUAGAAGCAGCCACCCUUUAAAGAAAGCGUAAUAGCUCACUAGUCGAGUCGGCCUGCGCGGAAGAUGUAACGGGGCUAAAACUAUGUGCCGAAGCUGCGGAUGUAUACUUUGUAUACGUGGUAGGGGAGCGUUCUGUAAGCCGAUGAAGGUGUGUUGAGAAGCAUGCUGGAGGUAUCAGAAGUGCGAAUGCUGACGUGAGUAACGACAAAACGGGUGAAAAACCCGUUCGCCGAAAGACCAAGGGUUCCAGUCCAACGUUAAUCGGGGCUGGGUGAGUCGACCCCUAAGGCGAGGCCGAAAGGCGUAGUCGAUGGGAAAAUGGUUAAUAUUCCAUUACUUCUGUGUAAUGCGAUGAGAGGACGGAGAAGGCUAAAUCAGCCUGGCGUUGGUUGUCCAGGUGAAAGGAUGUAGGCAUGUAUCUUAGGCAAAUCCGGGGUACUCUAUGCUGAGAUCUGAUAGCAAGCUGUACUUGUACAGCGAAGUGGUUGAUGCCAUGCUUCCAGGAAAAGUCUCUAAGCUUCAGUUACACAGGAAUCGUACCCGAAACCGACACAGGUGGUCAGGUCGAGUAGACCAAGGCGCUUGAGAGAACUCUGCUGAAGGAACUAGGCAAAAUGGUACCGUAACUUCGGAGAAGGUACGCUGUUGUUGGUGAUGGAACUCGCUUCCUGAGCUGACGACAGCCGCAGAAACCAGGCCGCUGAACUGUUUAUUAAAAACAUAGCACUCUGCAAACACGAAAGUGGACGUAUAGGGUGGAUGCCUGCCCGGUGCUGGAAGGUUAAUUGAUGGGGUUAGCGUAAGCGAAGCUCUUGAUCGAAGCCCCAGUAAACGGCGGCCGUAACUAUAACGGUCCUAAGGUAGCGAAAUUCCUUGUCGGGUAAGUUCCGACCUGCACGAAUGGCAUAAUGAUGGCGGCGCUGUCUCCAGCAGAGGCUCAGUGAAAUCGAAAUCGCUGUGAAGAUGCAGUGUACCCGCGGCUAGACGGAAAGACCCCGUGAACCUUUACUGCAGCUUGACACUGAACUUUGACCUUACUUGUGUAGGAUAGGUGGGAGGCUUUGAAGCUGGAACGCUAGUUCCAGUGGAGCCGUCCUUGAAAUACCACCCUGGUAAUGUUGAGGUUCUAACUCUGUCCCGUGAUCCGGGACGAGGACCGUGUCUGGUGGGUAGUUUGACUGGGGCGGUCUCCUCCUAAAGAGUAACGGAGGAGUACGAAGGUGCGCUCAGCGUGGUCGGAAAUCACGCGUAGAGUAUAAAGGCAAAAGCGCGCUUAACUGCGAGACCCACAAGUCGAGCAGGUACGAAAGUAGGUCUUAGUGAUCCGGUGGUUCUGUAUGGAAGGGCCAUCGCUCAACGGAUAAAAGGUACUCUGGGGAUAACAGGCUGAUACCGCCCAAGAGUUCAUAUCGACGGCGGUGUUUGGCACCUCGAUGUCGGCUCAUCUCAUCCUGGGGCUGAAGCAGGUCCCAAGGGUAUGGCUGUUCGCCAUUUAAAGAGGUACGCGAGCUGGGUUUAGAACGUCGUGAGACAGUUCGGUCCCUAUCUACCGUGGGCGCUGGAAAUUUGAGAGGAUCUGCUCCUAGUACGAGAGGACCAGAGUGGACGAACCUCUGGUGUACCGGUUGUGACGCCAGUCGCAUCGCCGGGUAGCUAUGUUCGGAAGGGAUAACCGCUGAAAGCAUCUAAGCGGGAAGCCUACCUCAAGAUAAGAUUUCCCUAGGACUUUAUGUCCUCUAAAGAGCCGUUCGAGACUAGGACGUUGAUAGGUUGGAUGUGGAAGCAUAGUGAUAUGUGAAGCUGACCAAUACUAAUUGCUCGUGAGGCUUGACUAU